Molecule: long non-coding RNA, 1400 nt
Organism: Mirounga angustirostris (Northern elephant seal)
Lineage: Eukaryota; Metazoa; Chordata; Mammalia; Carnivora; Phocidae
Exons: 2
Source: RefSeq, a predicted model, not a curated record
GUCUGAGUUCCCCCGGAGGCCGUGGCGACAGUGCGGCCUAGAGCCCGUUCCUUGGUGUAGGACGAAGGACGAAGUAACAUAUUUAGUCUCGGUCAACCGGAGUCGUGGCCCCCGUCGCCUCCGAAUGCCACCGGCAUCAGGUCCCUCCAUGGCCUAUUGGAAUAGCCCACGGUUGGGAGUCUGUCUGGCUCAUCUGCCUGCUCAUCCUUAAAGAUGGCAGAGCUGGACAUUCUCGCACUUCUUCAGUGCUGUAAUUCCCUCUUUUGCCAGCACCGAGACUGAGGGCAGGGACAAACUCUGACUCAGCACGUUCUCUGGUCCUGGAAAUGGGCCUUUCCGCGGAAGAACGCAGCCUCUUGCAGUUUCUUCCGGCACGGGUUUGCCCUCCCAGGGCCCUGCCCAUUCCCACCUGAGGGACUUCUUGAAGCUCAUCUAACCCCCAUCUCAGCACCCAGACAGGGAUUGCCAGCAAGUUCCAGUGGUGCAGCACUGCAGAGACCGCCCUGACACCAGUGGGCCGUGGCCAUACCCCUUCAAUGAGGUCUGGAUCUCAGCUGAUAGGGCUUGGAGUUGAGGAGGGGGACUCUUCCCUGUCCUAGGGUACUGGCCGCUCCUCAGAUCUGCUAUUCUUAAUAUUCUUUAGAGUUCUCUUCUUACUAGCCCAUACCUCAUUGCUCCAAUUCCCUGUUGUAGUUAAUAAUGCUUAAUGUAAACUUUUCCUUUUCAAAUUACAGUGAGUUUCUCUUUCCUGAUUGGACCCUUACCAAUACACCAUCAUUUGCCACCAACUCCCAAAUUUAAUCAAUGACUCAGACCUCUUUCUUGAACUCCAGCUGCCUCCCUGACAUAUCCAUUUGUUUUGUUUUGUUUUGUUCAAGAUAGAAACUCCCAAUUAUUAAUGCCAAAAAAGAAAAUUUUAUACAUCAUUUAAAGAUACACAAUAAAUCAGUUAUGUCCUGGUAAUGGAACCAAAUAGCUUGGGGACAAAAGUAUGGGGACCCUUCAUGCAUGCAUUUACAAAUCUUUUGAAUUUUGAAUUAUGUGAAUAUAUUAUCUACUUUAAAUUAGAAUAAAAACAAAAAUUUUAAAAACUUUACAAAAUCUUUUCUGCCAAUUAUUUUAUUCUUCCCCUGUCCAAAAGUGUAUGUGUGAUGUGAUGUGUGUGGGACCUUUAAAACUGAGCUAACGGGGGCACCUGGGUGGCUCACUCGUUAAGCGUCUGCCUUCGGCUCAGGUCAUGAUCCCAGGGUCCUGGGAUAGAGCCCCGCAUCGGGCUCUCUGCUCAGCGGGGAGCCUGCUUCUCCCUCUCCCACUCCCCCUGCCUGUGUUCCCUCUCUCACUGUGUCUCUCUCUGUCAAAUAAAUAAAUAAAAUCUUAAAAAAAAAAAAAAAAAAAAAAAA